AUCCUCGUCAUAAAAGGCCUGGACACCACUCACUGUCGUCUUAGUGAUAGGACUCUCUGGUGAAGGUAACACGAUCAAUGUUCAAUUCAGUCUUCGCGUGAAAUUUGAGAUAAAAUUGUUUUAAUGAAGAGUGGUUAUUGAACAAAGAGAUUCGUUCCAGUAAAACCUUCCAUCUUGACUGGAUUUGAUGAAUUCUGAAGAAUCAAAUUCACAUGAAAAAUCCGAUGUAACCUAUCCUGAAACAUCUACGAGAAAAAAUUGACGUCAGCAAUAACAGUAACACGUGAUCAGAAUAUGAGAACAUCUUCGGCAUGCGCACCUUCAACGUCACUUCAACAUUUCUAAAGCGUUCAUUAGCAACGUCGUGAUCAAGAGACUUCCAAACACGCUCUGCCUAGUAGAGAAAAUAUACAAUAUGUUCAAAAUAAGCAAGAACUAUCAAAUAUCAAUACACCACCACAGGCCACUGGAGGAACCUCAGACACGGAUAAUUCGAGCUCCGUUAAAGUCUUUUCCAUUUCUUUAGCCUCCUGAGUGAUGUGAUUAGCAAUCUGGAAACGUUCGACUUUCCAGUUGAAUGACGACCCUUUGAAUCCACGCAAUAAGAUCUUUACUCUCCUCGCAAUAUUGUUCGUACUUUAAAACAUUUUCCUACAACACAAACCAGCUGCUAAAUACAAGGAAUCGCUGAAUCCUCGAUAAAAAUCACCC
Molecule: long non-coding RNA, 711 nt
Organism: Xenia sp. Carnegie-2017
Lineage: Eukaryota; Metazoa; Cnidaria; Anthozoa; Malacalcyonacea; Xeniidae
Exons: 4
Source: RefSeq, a predicted model, not a curated record